UACGGGCAGUGAAAAUGUCGAAAUUGUAGACUGCCAAGGUGCAGGAAGACAAGUGUCGGAAGCGCAAGAAGUGUCUGUUUCGUUGUUGUUGGAUGGGGAUAAACGGUGGAUCAUUGGCCACUGUGCCGUGUAAUGAUGUCAAUAAGAAAGAUCCCAGCGAGCAAUCGCAUCUGGCGAGGCGUGUGCGAAUCCGCUGUCGGACUUCGUCCUUCGUUUGAAGCCAAGACAUCAACACAUCUGCUUCAUCGCCAGUGCCAGCCAAUCUGACGAAGAUCCUGAUUCUAGAAUAAUACCGGAUAAAGACUUGGCUCGAGUUUGUUAGAAAUCAACAUCGCAAUGCACACCGCCGAGGGUGCUGUGCAAGAAUCGCGUCCGCGGCCAGAAAACUGACAAGGUAGAUCUUCAGAAACAUGUAGUGGAAAUUCGGUGGCAACAGUUGCGUAAUUUUCUACAUUCGUAGAAAGUCAACCUGCAUCAAUUCAGAAAAAAAAUGAAAUCCAUUUCAAAU
Molecule: long non-coding RNA, 508 nt
Organism: Armigeres subalbatus
Lineage: Eukaryota; Metazoa; Arthropoda; Insecta; Diptera; Culicidae
Exons: 3
Source: RefSeq, a predicted model, not a curated record